RNAcentral lists this microRNA precursor (93 nucleotides) under Hofstenia miamia. RNAcentral describes it as "microRNA mir-191". Lineage: Eukaryota; Metazoa; Xenacoelomorpha; Acoela; Hofsteniidae. The record is from RNAcentral.
UGAUUGGUAGCAAGAAAAGAAACAAAAUCACGUCGAACGCAAAUUAUCUUGGCGUUUCGACUUGAUUUUGUUUCUUUUCUUGCUACCAAUCAC